This 471-nucleotide ribosomal RNA is filed under the name uncultured bacterium. RNAcentral's name for it is "bacterial SSU rRNA". It matches the Rfam family "Bacterial small subunit ribosomal RNA", at positions 355 to 825 of the family's 1533-position model. The record is from RNAcentral.
UGGGGAAUCUUGCGCAAUGGGCGAAAGCCUGACGCAGCGACGCCGCGUGAGUGAUGAAGGCCUUCGGGUUGUAAAGCUCUGUGGGGAGAGAAGAAUAAGUGCGGGCUAAUACCCCGCAUGAUGACGGUAUCUCCUUAGCAAGCACCGGCUAACUUCGUGCCAGCAGCCGCGGUAAUACGAAGGGAGCUAGCGUUGUUCGGAAUCACUGGGCGUAAAGCGCACGUAGGCGGAUAGUUAAGUCAGGGGUGAAAUCCUGGGGCUCAACCCCGGAGGGUCGACCGAUACUGGCAGACUAGAGUACAGAAGAGGUAGCUGGAAUUCCCAGUGUAGCAGUGAAAUGCGUAGAUAUUAGGAGGAACACCGAAGGCGAAGGCAGCUUGCUGGACGAGAUCUGACGCUGAAGCACGAAAGCGUGGGGAGCAAAAGGGAUUAGAUACCCCCGUAGUCCCUGAGCGGGCUGGCAAGGCGCAU